GACGAACGCUUUCUUCUUUCUUAACACAUGCAAGUCGAACGGAAAGGCCUCUUUCGGGGGGUACUCGAGUGGCGAACGGGUGAGUAACACGUGAGUAACCUGCCCUUGACUUUGGGAUAACUUCAGGAAACUGGGGCUAAUACCGGAUAGGAGCUCCUGCUGCAUGGUGGGGGUUGGAAAGUUUCGGCGGUUGGGGAUGGACUCGCGGCUUAUCAGCUUGUUGGUGGGGUAGUGGCUUACCAAGGCUUUGACGGGUAGCCGGCCUGAGAGGGUGACCGGCCACAUUGGGACUGAGAUACGGCCCAGACUCCUACGGGAGGCAGCAGUGGGGAAUAUUGCACAAUGGGUGGAAGCCUGAUGCAGCAACGCCGUGUGCGGGAUGACGGCCUUCGGGUUGUAAACCGCUUUCGCUCAUGACGAAGCUUUGUGUGACGGUAGUGGGUAAAGAAGCACCGGCUAACUACGUG
Molecule: ribosomal RNA, 467 nt
Filed under: uncultured bacterium
Lineage: Bacteria
Description: partial 16S ribosomal RNA
Rfam family: Bacterial small subunit ribosomal RNA
Source: RNAcentral